This 668-nucleotide ribosomal RNA is filed under the name Clavicipitaceae sp. RB-2011. RNAcentral describes it as "eukaryotic LSU rRNA". The stretch from base 268 to 421 matches the Rfam family "5.8S ribosomal RNA". Lineage: Eukaryota; Fungi; Ascomycota; Sordariomycetes; Hypocreales; Clavicipitaceae. The record is from RNAcentral.
UCUUGGUCAUUUAGAGGAAGUAAAAGUCGUAACAAGGUUUCCGUAGGUGAACCUGCGGAAGGAUCAUUAAAGAGUUAGGGUCUUCUCGGCCCGACCUCCCAACCCUUUGUCUAUUGAACCUCUGUUGCUUCGGCGGACCCGUCCCCUCGGGGACCGCCGGAGGACCGUCGUAAGGCGUCCUCUGGCCCGCGUUCGCCGGCGGCCAACCAUUUAAACUCUUGAUUGAAUCAUGUCAUAUUGUCUAAGUUUUAUAAGUAAUAAAAGCAAAACUUUCAACAACGGAUCUCUUGGUUCUGGCAUCGAUGAAGAACGCAGCGAAAUGCGAUAAGUAAUGUGAAUUGCAGAAUUCAGUGAAUCAUCGAAUCUUUGAACGCACAUUGCGCCCGCCAGUAUUCUGGCGGGCAUGCCUGUUCGAGCGUCAUUUCAACCCUCAAGCCCCAGUGGCCUGGUGUUGGGGACCGGCGACCUCGCCCGGGGGAACACCCCCGGCGCGUCCGCCGCCCCUGAAAUGAAUUGGCGGCCCCGUCGCGGCCUCCUCUGCGUAGUAGCACAACCUCGCAGCGGGAGCGCGACGCGGCCACUGCCGUAAAACGCCCAACUUUUUUUAGAGUUGACCUCGGAUCAGGUAGGAAUACCCGCUGAACUUAAGCAUAUCAAUAAGCGGAGGA